RNAcentral lists this ribosomal RNA (128 nucleotides) under uncultured eukaryote. Its description in RNAcentral is "partial small subunit ribosomal RNA". It matches the Rfam family "Eukaryotic small subunit ribosomal RNA", at positions 1651 to 1779 of the family's 1831-position model. The record is from RNAcentral.
CCCUGCCAUUUGUACACACCGCCCGUCGCACCUACCGAUUGGAUGGUCCGGUGAGGCCUCCGGACUCGACCCGACGUCUCGUCAGAGGCCCGGGAUGGGGAAGUUGGUCAAAUCUUACCAUCUAGAGG